RNAcentral lists this ribosomal RNA (329 nucleotides) under uncultured eukaryote. RNAcentral describes it as "partial 18S ribosomal RNA". It matches the Rfam family "Eukaryotic small subunit ribosomal RNA", at positions 1470 to 1796 of the family's 1831-position model. The record is from RNAcentral.
CCCUUAGAUGUUCUGGGCCGCACGCGCGCUAUACUGACGAUGGCAACGAGUUUUUCCUUCGCCGAAAGGUGUGGGUAAUCUUUUGAAACAUCGUCGUGCUGGGGAUAGAUCAUUGCAAUUUUUGAUCUUGAACGAGGAAUUCCUAGUAAGCGCGAGUCAUCAGCUCGCGUUGAUUACGUCCCUGCCCUUUGUACACACCGCCCGUCGCUACUACCGAUUGAAUGGUUUAGUGAGGACUCCUGAUUGGCGCCGCCGCCCCGGCAACGGAGCAGCGGACUGCCGAAAAGUUGUUCAAACUUGAUCAUUUAGAGGAAGUAAAAGUCGUAACA